This 403-nucleotide ribosomal RNA is filed under the name uncultured bacterium. Its description in RNAcentral is "bacterial SSU rRNA". It matches the Rfam family "Bacterial small subunit ribosomal RNA", at positions 356 to 773 of the family's 1533-position model. The record is from RNAcentral.
AGGGAAUAUUGCACAAUGGAGGAAACUCUGAUGCAGCGACGCCGCGUGAGUGAUGAAGGCCUUCGGGUCGUAAAGCUCUGUCGCAGGGGAAUAACACAAUGAAGGUACCCUGUAAGAAAGGAUCGGCUAACUUCGUGCCAGCAGCCGCGGUAAGACGAGGGAUCCUAGCGUUGUUCGGAAUCAUUGGGCGUAAAGCGGGUGUAGGUGGCUUUGUAAGUCAGGUGUGAAAGCCUAGGGCUCAACCCUAGAAGUGCAUUUGAUACUGCGAAGCUUGAGUGCUAGAGAGGUUACUAGAAUUGUUGGUGUAGUGGUGAAAUACGUAGAUAUCAACAGGAAUACCGGUGGCGAAGGCGGGUAACUGGCUAGACACUGACACUCAGACCCGAAAGUGCGGGGAUCAAAC